RNAcentral lists this transfer RNA (77 nucleotides) under Clostridiales bacterium. RNAcentral's name for it is "tRNA-Arg". It matches the Rfam family "tRNA". From Rfam's summary of the family: Transfer RNA (tRNA) molecules are approximately 80 nucleotides in length. Their secondary structure includes four short double-helical elements and three loops (D, anti-codon, and T loops). Further hydrogen bonds mediate the characteristic L-shaped molecular structure. tRNAs have two regions of fundamental functional importance: the anti-codon, which is responsible for specific mRNA codon recognition, and the 3' end, to which the tRNAs corresponding amino acid is attached (by aminoacyl-tRNA synthetases). tRNAs cope with the degeneracy of the genetic code in two manners: having more than one tRNA (with a specific anti-codon) for a particular amino acid; and 'wobble' base-pairing, i.e. permitting non-standard base-pairing at the 3rd anti-codon position. Lineage: Bacteria; Bacillati; Bacillota; Clostridia; Eubacteriales. The record is from RNAcentral.
AUGCCCGUGGCGCAACCGGAUAACGCAUCAGAUUCCGAUUCUGAAGACUGCAAGUUCGAAUCUUGUCGGGCAUACCA